AUUGAACGCUGGCGGCAUGCCUUACACAUGCAAGUCGAACGGCAGCGGGGGAGAAGCUUGCUUUUCCUGCCGGCGAGUGGCGAACGGGUGAGUAAUACAUCGGAACGUGCCCUGUAGUGGGGGAUAACUAGUCGAAAGAUUAGCUAAUACCGCAUACGACCUGAGGGUGAAAGUGGGGGACCGCAAGGCCUCAUGCUAUAGGAGCGGCCGAUGUCUGAUUAGCUAGUUGGUGGGGUAAAGGCCUACCAAGGCGACGAUCAGUAGCUGGUCUGACGGGACGAUCAGCCACACUGGGACUGAGACACGGCCCAGACUCCUACGGGAGGCAGCAGUGGGGAAUUUUGGACAAUGGGCGAAAGCCUGAUCCAGCAAUGCCGCGUGUGUGAAGAAGGCCUUCGGGUUGUAAAGCACUUUUGUCCGGAAAGAAAUGGCUCUGGUUAAUACCUGGGGUCGAUGACGGUACCGGAAGAAUAAGGACCGGCUAACUACGUGCCAGCCGCCGCCGUAA
RNAcentral lists this ribosomal RNA (508 nucleotides) under uncultured bacterium. RNAcentral describes it as "partial 16S ribosomal RNA". It matches the Rfam family "Bacterial small subunit ribosomal RNA", at positions 30 to 523 of the family's 1533-position model. The record is from RNAcentral.